CCUACGGGAGGCUGCAGUGGGGAAUAUUGGACAAUGGGGGGAACCCUGAUCCAGCCAUGCCGCGUGUGUGAAGAAGGCCCUUGGGUUGUAAAGCACUUUCAGUGAGGAAGAACGCCUGGUGGUUAAUACCCAUCAGGAAAGACAUCACUCACAGAAGAAGCACCGGCUAACUCCGUGCCAGCAGCCGCGGUAAUACGGAGGGUGCGAGCGUUAAUCGGAAUUACUGGGCGUAAAGCGCGCGUAGGUGGCUUGAUAAGCCGGUUGUGAAAGCCCCGGGCUCAACCUGGGAACGGCAUCCGGAACUGUCAAGCUAGAGUGCAGGAGAGGAAGGUAGAAUUCCCGGUGUAGCGGUGAAAUGCGUAGAGAUCGGGAGGAAUACCAGUGGCGAAGGCGGCCUUCUGGACUGACACUGACACUGAGGUGCGAAAGCGUGGGUAGCAAACAGGAUUAGAUACCCGGGUAGUC
Molecule: ribosomal RNA, 465 nt
Filed under: Vreelandella stevensii
Lineage: Bacteria; Pseudomonadati; Pseudomonadota; Gammaproteobacteria; Oceanospirillales; Halomonadaceae
Description: partial 16S ribosomal RNA
Rfam family: Bacterial small subunit ribosomal RNA
Source: RNAcentral